AUUUCAACCGGAAGCUGGGAGCCAGUACUGGGAGGAUGGGCAACCAUCACUGCAGUCAGGAAACAGAAGAGUUGACUAACCAGCCAUUUCACUUGUUAAGACAUGAAUGAUGGUGAAAGCUGGUAUUAAAUACUGUUCAGCAGUGUCAACAGUCCUCCUUUUGUGAGCUACAACAAAACCUCAUCAGCUCUUACUGAGGAGUUUGCAUCUGGAGCUGUACGCAGUAAUCCAACAUUGCAUCAAACUUGCAAGAAAAGACAAUUUGGCUUGCCUUGAAAAUUCAAGUCAAGGUUAUAUUGUACUUGGGCAUUUCAAGAGACAGAACAAAAGCAUAAAAGCACACAGUGCCAAGAUUGAGCAAGAGUAUGCAGUGCCCUUUGUUGAAUCUGACCUCAGCCAGAGCCAUGGUUCUGGGAACCUGGUUUAUUUGUUCGAUGAAAAAGGGAAAGAUCAAGAAAGGAAAUUGCUCAAUGCUAAAACAGUGAAUAAAUGAAGAUCUCCAUGAAGCCCAAGCCAACAAGGUCAAGUUCCCUCAUCCCUACACAACACAAAGUUCUUAUCUCCUGUGGGGUCAUCACAGUCAGAGUUCACUUAAUGAAACAGACUCCAAACUCAUUUCAAUUGUACCAAUUAUAGACACGACCAAAGCAAUGAUGCUUAUGGGUUAAAGGAAAACAUUCGGGCUCUAAUACCGAUCAAACUAAAGCUGGCCCGUUGGAGAGGUGGCUUAGUGGUUAAAAGCAGUUAUUGCACAUGCAAAGAGGCUGGAUUUGGCUCCCAGCACCCUCAUGGUUGUUCACAACCACCUGUCACUCCAGUUCUAGGGAAUCCAGUGCUCUGGGUGCACAUGAACUAUGCAGACACACUAUUUAUUUCUUAAAUCUUAAUCCAAGCAAGCCUUGAAUGAAACUGGGAAUAACUACCACCCUGACAGAUAAUGUGAGUAUUCAAUGCUACAGCAUCAUGGAGUGUUCUGUAAGGUGUUGGUAACUGGAAAGUGCUCAGGGAAUCUUCAUAGCCCCUCCCCACCCACCAGAACUAGAUUGGUGAUUGGCGGCUCUCUCUAUCUCUUUUAAAAUCUUUUUGUUUCUAGGAUUUUUCUUCCCUUUUUUUAAUAGAGAAAAUAUUGCUGAAGCAUGAACUCUCUUUCUCUCAUUCUGUACAGAGACGUGAUCUUUGUCAGUCUUAGAAAACAGCUACUUAGAACUGCUGCUGUCAAGAGGUCUGUGCCGUUGCUUGGAAACAGCUUUUGUUUGUCCAGGAAAGAACCUUGGCUGAGUUCAAGGGACUUUGGCUACUGUCUUUUCUCAAUGGCUUCAAGACGCCCAGUGAAUUAAAAGUAAGAGAUUUGAGAGGGGUAGAAAGAGA
Mastomys coucha (southern multimammate mouse) is the source of this 1368-nucleotide long non-coding RNA. RefSeq lists it as uncharacterized. The transcript is spliced from 2 exons. Lineage: Eukaryota; Metazoa; Chordata; Mammalia; Rodentia; Muridae. The record is from RefSeq and is a predicted model, not a curated record.